This 1158-nucleotide ribosomal RNA is filed under the name Triticum aestivum (bread wheat). RNAcentral's name for it is "partial small subunit ribosomal RNA". The record is from RNAcentral. Lineage: Eukaryota; Viridiplantae; Streptophyta; Magnoliopsida; Poales; Poaceae.
AUGGCGGCGAAGGAAACCGAACGACGUUCCUUCGGCGACCUCCCCGAGGAGCUGAUCCCGGAGAUCCUCGCCUGCGUGCCGCCCAAGCACCUCCUCCGCUUCCGCGCCGCCUGCAAGGCCUGGUGCGACCUCGCCGCCGACCCCGCCUUCAUCCGCAAGCACCACUCCCGCCAGCCAGCGCAGCCCCUCCUCCUGGCUUACGACGAGCACUGCCUCGAGGCCGUCAACCUCGGCACCAACAGGCGCCGGGCGGUCAUGCGGGUUACGGUGUCUGGCCGCGUGCCCUCCAUCGGCUCCGACGCGCUCGCGCUCCACGGCUCCUGCGACGGCCUGCUCCUCCUCGGCUUCCGCGAGACCUUCCUCGUCUGCAACCCCGCCACGCGCCAAGGUGCUCGCCUGCGGCUGCUGUUUCGUGAUGGCCCGGAAUUCGUGGGGUUCUACAGGCACGCCGCUUCUGGGGAGUACCGGGUGCUGUACCACCUGGUCGAGGGCCUCGACGGGGAGUACUCCUACUACGUCCUCUCGCUGGGAUCCCAGCAGGCGAUCAGGGACAUCGAGCUGCUCGCGUCGUCGGCCGCCGUGGCCGCCGGGCUGGCCAGAGGGCUGGAGAGCUCCAGCACAUCGCCGCCCGUCCUCUUCCGCGGCAGGCUGCACUGGCGGCCGCAACGGAGCCAAGGGGGCAACAUUCUGGUGUUCGACACCGAUGCUGAGUCAUUCAGCUGGAUCCCUCCUCCCGCGGAGGCGAUGCUGGGCGAGCGCCACCACGCGCAGCUGUUUGAGAUGGACGGCACGCUUGCCAUGUUCUGCUGCCACCAAUCUGCACAGAAGUCUGUUAUCUGGUUCAUGGAGGACUACGAGCAGAUGAACUGGGUCAAGCACCCGGUUGAGCUGUCCUUCACACCUGCUUAUGAUCCGGCUGUCCUGUAUCAAGGGGGGGAUGUGCUGGUGCUGGAAUCGGAUAUGCUGGUGUUAGAAAGCCCGGGCAAGCUGUCGCAUUAUGAUAAGAUGGAUAAACUUCAGGGAUCUGUCAACUGUUUUGCUCGGGGCCUCAGAAUUACUCCACAUGUGCUCAAAGAGAGCCUCAUCCUCCCUGAGUUCCUUCGGAAGCAGCAGAAUGACGGUACCUGCCAAUGGUUCCCCGAGCUUGAGUUUCCCUGA